This 69-nucleotide transfer RNA is filed under the name Platytroctes apus (legless searsid). RNAcentral's name for it is "tRNA-Glu". It matches the Rfam family "tRNA". From Rfam's summary of the family: Transfer RNA (tRNA) molecules are approximately 80 nucleotides in length. Their secondary structure includes four short double-helical elements and three loops (D, anti-codon, and T loops). The record is from RNAcentral. Lineage: Eukaryota; Metazoa; Chordata; Actinopteri; Alepocephaliformes; Platytroctidae.
GUUCCUGUAGUUGAAUUACAACGGUGGUUUUUCAAGUCAUUGGUCUCGGUUAGAGUCCGGGUGGGAAUU